RNAcentral lists this ribosomal RNA (1104 nucleotides) under uncultured eukaryote. RNAcentral's name for it is "SSU rRNA". It matches the Rfam family "Eukaryotic small subunit ribosomal RNA", at positions 17 to 1129 of the family's 1831-position model. The record is from RNAcentral.
CCAGUAGUCAUAUGCUUGUCUCAAAGAUUAAGCCAUGCAUGUCUAAGUACAGGCUUUGGUACAGCGAAACCGCGAAUGGCUCAUUAAAUCAGCUAUAAUUUAUUAGAUUGUUCUCUACUUGGAUAACUGUGGGAAUUCUAGAGCUAAUACAUGCACAAAAGCUCCGACCUUCGGGAAGGAGUGCAGUUAUUAGACCAAAACCAGCCGAGCUUCGGCUCAAACUGUUUGGUGACUCUGGAUAACGAUGAGCGGAUCGCAUGGCCUUGUGCCGGCGACAUAUCUUUCAAGUGUCUGACCUAUCAACUGACGAUGGUACGCGAUAUGCCUACCAUGGUGAUAACGGGUAACGGAGAAUAAGGGUUCGACUCCGGAGAGGGAGCCUGAGAAAUGGCUACCACAUCCAAGGAUGGCAGCAGGCGCGCAAAUUACCCACUCUCAGUACGAGGAGGUAGUGACGAAAAAUAACAAUGCGGGACUCUAUGAGGCCUCGCAAUUGGAAUGAGCGCACUUUAAAUCGUUCGACGAGGAUCUAUUGGAGGGCAAGUCUGGUGCCAGCAGCCGCGGUAAUUCCAGCUCCAAUAGCGUAUAUUAAAGUUGUUGCAGUUAAAAAGCUCGUAGUUGGAUCUGGGGUUCGGGUCGGCGGUUUGCCGCUCUGCGGCUACUGCCGUGCUCGACUCUUACUAGCCGGUGCGUCUCGCGGUGCUCUUCACUGAGUGCCACGAGAGCCUGGCAUGUUUACUUUGAAAAAAUUAGAGUGCUCAAAGCAGGCGCUUGCGCCUGAAUAGUGUUGCAUGGAAUAAUGGAAUAGGACCUCGGUUCUAUUUUGUUGGUUUUCGGAACUUGAGGUAAUGAUUAAGAGGGACGGUCGGGGGCAUUCGUAUUUCGGUGUUAGAGGUGAAAUUCUUGGAUCGCUGAAAGACGGACAAAUGCGAAAGCAUCUGCCAAGAACGUCUCCAUUAAUCAGAACGAAAAUCAGAGGUUCGAAGACGAUCAGACACCGUCUAGUUCUGACAUAACGAUGCACUAGCGAUCGCAUAUGCUAUCACGGACUCUGCGAGCAGCUUCGGGAAACAGGAGUGUUUGGGCUUCCGGGGGAAGUUAUGU